CAAUAGCGUAUAUUAAAGUUGUUGCGGUUAAAAAGCUCGUAGUUGGAUUUCUGCUGAGAACGACCGGUCCGCCCUCUGGGUGUGUAUCUGGCUCUUUCUUGGCAUCUUCUUGGUGAACGUUGCUGCACUUGACUGUGUGGAGCGCUACCCAGGACUUUUACUUUGAGGAAAUUAGAGUGUUUCAAGCAGGCAUACGCCUUGAAUACAUUAGCAUGGAAUAAUAAGAUAGGACCUCGGUUCUAUUUUGUUGGUUUCUAGAGCUGAGGUAAUGAUUAAUAGGGAUAGUUGGGAGCAUUCGUAUUUAACUGUCAGAGGUGAAAUUCUUGGAUUUGUUAAAGACGGACUACUGCGAANGNAUUUGCNAAGGAUGUUUNCAUUG
RNAcentral lists this ribosomal RNA (379 nucleotides) under uncultured eukaryote. RNAcentral's name for it is "partial 18S ribosomal RNA". It matches the Rfam family "Eukaryotic small subunit ribosomal RNA", at positions 592 to 975 of the family's 1831-position model. The record is from RNAcentral.